GGUAUUUACAGAAUGGGAAAAUUUUCCCCCGAUUCCCCGAUAAUGACGCAACUGACGCGGGCGCAGAUUUUACAGCUGGGAAAACUGAGGCUGGGAACAAUGGGGUGAUUUUGGCCAGGACCAGGCAAUCAGAGGAAAGAGGAAAACAACGAGCAAUUUGCAUAUUUCCCCGAAGAACCCUCUGAAGCUGAACAGCCUGUCCUUGGACUUAGAGAAAGGGACGCCCACGCUGCUUCUCCAGAAUUGGCAGAAUGAACGCAUCUUCAUUCUUCAGCAAGUGUGUUUGAUGCCUGCAGUAUUCUAAAGCAGAGAGAGUGAGGGGGAGAAGCAAGGGCAUCGUCUGCUCUGAGGCUUACAUUCCGUGUGUACACACAGGUAAGGCAAUCUGGGAAAAUACACUCUUUCGGUUAUUAACGAGCAAUAUU
RNAcentral lists this long non-coding RNA (425 nucleotides) under Meriones unguiculatus (Mongolian gerbil). Its description in RNAcentral is "lncRNA (ENSMUGG00000024075.1)". Lineage: Eukaryota; Metazoa; Chordata; Mammalia; Rodentia; Muridae. The record is from RNAcentral.